GAUGAACGCUGGCGGCGUGCCUAAUACAUGCAAGUCGAGCGAACGGACGAGAAGCUUGCUUCUCUGAUGUUAGCGGCGGACGGGUGAGUAACACGUGGAUAACCUACCUAUAAGACUGGGAUAACUUCGGGAAACCGGAGCUAAUACCGGAUGAUAUUUUGAACCGCAUGGCUCAAAAGUGAAAGACGGUCUUGCUGUCACUUAUAGAUGGAUCCGCGCUGCAUUAGCUAGUUGGUAAGGUAACGGCUUACCAAGGAAACGAUGCAUAGCCGACCUGAGAUGGUGAUCGGCCACACUGGAGCUGAGACACGGUCCAGACUCCUACGGGAGGCAGCAGUAUGGAAUCUUCCGCAAUGGGCGAGAGCCUGACGGAGCAACGCCGCGUGAGUGAUGAAGGUCUUCGGAUCGUAAAACUCUGUUAUUAGGGAAGAACAUAUGUGUAAGUAACUGUGCACAUCUUGACGGUACCUAAUCAGAAAGCCACGGCUAACUACGUG
Molecule: ribosomal RNA, 497 nt
Filed under: uncultured bacterium
Lineage: Bacteria
Description: partial 16S ribosomal RNA
Rfam family: Bacterial small subunit ribosomal RNA
Source: RNAcentral